This 253-nucleotide ribosomal RNA is filed under the name uncultured bacterium. RNAcentral's name for it is "partial 16S ribosomal RNA". It matches the Rfam family "Bacterial small subunit ribosomal RNA", at positions 524 to 776 of the family's 1533-position model. The record is from RNAcentral.
UACGAAGGGUGCAAGCGUUAAUCGGAAUUACUGGGCGUAAAGGGAGCGUAGGCGGCUUUUUAAGUCGGAUGUGAAAUCCCCGGGCUUAACCUGGGAAUGGCAUCCGAUACUGGGGAGCUAGAGUUUGGGAGAGGGUGAUGGAAUUCCCGGUGUAGCGGUGAAAUGCGUAGAGAUCGGGAGGAACACCUGUGGCGAAAGCGGCGCACUGGACCAUAACUGACGCUGAGGCGCGAAAGCUAGGGGAGCAAACAGG